GUGAAUCAUCGAAUCUUUGAACGCACAUUGCGCCCUUUGGUAUUCCUUAGGGCAUGCCUGUUCGAGCGUCAUUUCAACCCUCAAGCUCAGCUUGGUGUUGGGCGCCUUGUCCCCGCCGAUCCGCGCGGGGACUCGCCCCAAAGACAUUGGCAGCCGCAUCCCCCCGAGCCGCGGGCGCAGCACAGUCGCGCGAGCGGAGCGGGAGGAACGGGCUCUCCAGGAGGCACACCACACCGUCUUGACCUCGGAUCAGGUAGGGAUACCCGCUGAACUUAAGCAUAUCAAUAAGCGGAGGA
Molecule: unclassified non-coding RNA, 296 nt
Filed under: Rostriconidium sp.
Lineage: Eukaryota; Fungi; Ascomycota; Dothideomycetes; Pleosporales; Torulaceae
Description: partial contains 5.8S ribosomal RNA, internal transcribed spacer 2, and large subunit ribosomal RNA
Rfam family: 5.8S ribosomal RNA (bases 1-71)
Source: RNAcentral